GUCGAGAAUCUUUCACAAUGGGGGCAACCCUGAUGGAGCGACGCCGCGUGGAGGAUAAGGUCUUCGGAUUGUAAACUCCUGUCAUGCGUGAACAAGGUUGCUUGGUUAAUACCUGGGCAAAUUGAUGGUAACGCAAGAGGAAGAGACGGCUAACUCUGUGCCAGCAGCCGUGGUAAUACAGAGGUCUCAAGCGUUGUUCGGAAUCACUGGGCGUAAAGGGUGCGUAGGUGGCGUGGUAAGUCAGAUGUGAAAGCCCGGGGCUCAACCUCGGAACUGCAUCCGAUACUGCCAUGCUAGAGUACUGGAGAGGUGACUAGAAUUCUCGGUGUAGCAGUGAAAUGCGUAGAUAUCGAGAGGAAUACCAAAGGCGUAGGCAGGUCACUGGACAGUUACUGACACUGAGGCACGAAGGCCAGGGGAGCGAACGGGAUUAGAUACCCUUGUAGUCC
This 449-nucleotide ribosomal RNA is filed under the name uncultured bacterium. Its description in RNAcentral is "partial 16S ribosomal RNA". It matches the Rfam family "Bacterial small subunit ribosomal RNA", at positions 354 to 796 of the family's 1533-position model. The record is from RNAcentral.